Molecule: long non-coding RNA, 552 nt
Organism: Cyprinus carpio (common carp)
Lineage: Eukaryota; Metazoa; Chordata; Actinopteri; Cypriniformes; Cyprinidae
Source: Ensembl
CAGACCCCAAACCUUUAAAUGAUAGUCUUUUGCAUUUAUUUUACAGAAUAUUUACUGAAAUAGUUUGAAAACAAAUGUGUAUUAAAGUAAGACUUCUUUCAAAAACAUACUAAAAAACCUACACACCCCAAACAUUUGAUGUAAUGUUUAUAAAAUGCCAUUUUUUUUUUUUUUUUUUUAAUGUCAGGGUUUCUACUGUACUGAGGGGAGCUCAGCCCCAGAGCCGUGUGAAGAGGGCACAUUUGGAUCCCGGCAAGCCCUGAGUGAAGCAUCACAGUGUACCCCAUGUAGUGGGGGGAAAUAUUGCACCGGUUUGGGCAAAUCUGAGCCCACAGGGGACUGUGAAGGAGGAUUCUAUUGUAGACAGAGGUCUACGAGUCCAGUUCCUCCUGAUGGUCAUGAAGGGGGUGUGUGUCCUGCUGGCAGUUUCUGCCCACCGGGUUCAGUUCACCCACAGCCCUGCCCUUCAGGAACCUACAGUAACAGCACGGGUCUCCAACAUGCAGAGCAGUGUGUCCACUGUCCUCCAGGGUAUGACUGCAAGAGCAAAUA